GAUUCUUAGUGGCGAACGGGUGAGUAACGCGUAGACAACCUGCCUUCUAGAUGGGGACAACACUGCGAAAGUGGUGCUAAUACCGAAUGUUGCAUUAAGCCUGCAUGGGCUUGAUACUAAAGGUGGCUUCUAUUUAUAAGCUAUCACUAGAAGAUGGGUCUGCGUCUGAUUAGCUAGUUGGUGAGGUAAUGGCUCACCAAGGCGAUGAUCAGUAGCCGGUCUGAGAGGAUGAACGGCCACACUGGGACUGAGACACGGCCCAGACUCCUACGGGAGGCAGCAGUGGGGAAUCUUCCGCAAUGGACGAAAGUCUGACGGAGCAACGCCGCGUGAGUGAAGAAGGUUUUCGGAUCGUAAAGCUCUGUCUUUGAGGACGAAUGUGUCUAAUGUGAAUAAUGUUAGAUAAUGACGGUACUCGAGGAGGAAGCCACGGCUAACUACGUGCCAGCAGCCGCGGUAAUACGUAGGUGGCAAGCGUUGUCCGGAAUUAUUGGGCGUAAAGCGCGCGCAGGCGGGAUAUUAAGUCUGUUUUAAAAGUUCGGGGCUCAACCCCGUGAUGGAAUGGAAACUAAUAUUCUUGA
This 581-nucleotide ribosomal RNA is filed under the name uncultured Bacillota bacterium. RNAcentral describes it as "bacterial SSU rRNA". It matches the Rfam family "Bacterial small subunit ribosomal RNA", at positions 87 to 645 of the family's 1533-position model. Lineage: Bacteria; Bacillati; Bacillota. The record is from RNAcentral.